UACAGAGGUCCCAAGCGUUGUUCGGAUUUACUGGGCGUAAAGCGUGCGUAGACGGUUUCGUAAGUCGGGUGUGAAAUCCCCGGGCUCAACCUGGGAAUUGCAUUCGAAACUGCGAGGCUAGGGUACGGAAGAGGGAAGCGGAAUUUCUGGUGUAGCGGUGAAAUGCGUAGAUAUCAGAAGGAACAUCAGUGGCGAAAGCGGCUUCCUGGUCCAGUACCGACGUUCAGGCACGAAAGCGUGAGGAGCAAACAGG
RNAcentral lists this ribosomal RNA (253 nucleotides) under uncultured bacterium. Its description in RNAcentral is "partial 16S ribosomal RNA". It matches the Rfam family "Bacterial small subunit ribosomal RNA", at positions 524 to 776 of the family's 1533-position model. The record is from RNAcentral.